Long non-coding RNA from Anolis carolinensis (green anole), 688 nucleotides. RefSeq lists it as uncharacterized. The transcript is spliced from 3 exons. The record is from RefSeq and is a predicted model, not a curated record. Lineage: Eukaryota; Metazoa; Chordata; Lepidosauria; Squamata; Anolidae.
CUGUCAUAACAUUUCAGCACUGCAAGCUUAAAGACACAGCAUCCUUUACUCCGAGGUCUUGGGAGCCGGCCUCCAUCUGUGAAGACAUGCAGCUAAGAGAACAGGGAAAGGUGGAAAAGAAAGACCCAGCAGUCACCAUCUCCUAUGCUGCUGUGCUGUUGUUUUUUUAAAGUUAUCCACAUAUCUGUAAAGGCACCAGAUCCCAUCUGAUCUUGGCAGGCAUGGUCCUGGUUAGUAUUUGGAAGGGACUCCACUAAGGAAUACCAGGCUAAAAGUGAAGAAGCUGAUCGAAUAUCACUUGGGGAUAGAGUUCCACAGCCGAGGGGCCACCACUGAGAAGGCCCUGUCUCUCGUCCCCAUCAACUGUGCCUGAGAAGAAGGUGGGACCGAGAGCAGGGCCUCCCUAGAAGAUCUUACUCUCCAUGAUGGUUCAUAGAAGGAGAUACGUUUGGAUAGGAAAACUGGGCUGGAACAGUUUAAUAUGAAUUUGUUAAUUUUUCCUAUGUAUGGAGACACCCUGUAUUAUAUGAGGCAAAAGACCUUGCUUCUCAACUUUUAUAGAAUCACAAAUGUAUGCUAUGUCUGUACGCUAUAAUCAAGAUAAAAUGGUUAAAUGUAUGGUCUUGUUGAUACCUUCUACUCUUCCACAAUUAGCUGUGAAUUAAAGAAAUCUUAUUAACAAUUUCAA